GACGAACGCUGGCGGCGUGCUUAACACAUGCAAGUCGAACGAUGAAGAAAAGAAUCGAAGCUUCGGCAGAAAUUCAUUUCGGAUUAGUGGCAGACGGGUGAGUAACGCGUGAGCAACCUACCUCUUACAAAGGGAUAGCCUCGGGAAACCGGGAUUAAUACCAUAUAACAUUGCGACGAAGCAUUUCGAUGCAAUCAAAGCUACGGCGGUAAGAGAUGGGCUCGCGUCCCAUUAACCGGAUGGUGAGGUAACGGCUCACCAUAGUGACGAUGGGUAACCGGCCUGAGAGGGUGAACGGUCACACUGGAACUGAGACACGGUCCAGACUCCUACGGGAGGCAGCAGUGGGGAAUAGUGCACAAUGGAGGGAACUCUGAUGCAGCGACGCCGCGUGAGUGAUGAAGGAAUUCGUUUCGUAAAACUCUGUUCUAUGGGAAGAAAAAGACUGUACCAUAGGAGAAAGCUCCGGCUGAAUACGUG
This 480-nucleotide ribosomal RNA is filed under the name uncultured bacterium. RNAcentral's name for it is "partial 16S ribosomal RNA". It matches the Rfam family "Bacterial small subunit ribosomal RNA", at positions 28 to 507 of the family's 1533-position model. The record is from RNAcentral.